GAUGAACGCUGGCGGCGUGCCUAAUACAUGCAAGUCGAGCGAACAGAUAAGGAGCUUGCUCCUUUGACGUUAGCGGCGGACGGGUGAGUAACACGUGGGUAACCUACCUAUAAGACUGGAAUAACUCCGGGAAACCGGGGCUAAUGCCGGAUAACAUUUAGAACCGCAUGGUUCUAAAGUGAAAGAUGGUUUUGCUAUCACUUAUAGAUGGACCCGCGCCGUAUUAGCUAGUUGGUAAGGUAACGGCUUACCAAGGCAAUGAUACGUAGCCGACCUGAGAGGGUGAUCGGCCACACUGGAACUGAGACACGGUCCAGACUCCUACGGGAGGCAGCAGUAGGGAAUCUUCCGCAAUGGGCGAAAGCCUGACGGAGCAACGCCGCGUGAGUGAUGAAGGUCUUCGGAUCGUAAAACUCUGUUAUUAGGGAAGAACAAAUGUGUAAGUAACUGUGCACGUCUUGACGGUACCUAAUCAGAAAGCCACGGCUAACUACGUG
Molecule: ribosomal RNA, 497 nt
Filed under: uncultured bacterium
Lineage: Bacteria
Description: partial 16S ribosomal RNA
Rfam family: Bacterial small subunit ribosomal RNA
Source: RNAcentral